This 505-nucleotide long non-coding RNA is filed under the name Hordeum vulgare. Its description in RNAcentral is "long non-coding RNA (HVUL_LNC019310)". The record is from RNAcentral. Lineage: Eukaryota; Viridiplantae; Streptophyta; Magnoliopsida; Poales; Poaceae.
UGACCCCGAGCCUCGCUGGAGAUGGCCAUCGUCCCGGUCCGGAGCUCCCCUGCUCUCUCAUUCAUGUACAGGAGGCAACCAUGGAUGACCUCGAGCAUGACCUUCUCCCGUGACCGACCCUGUCGGAUCCUGCCGUCUGCCGCCCGGAACGGAAACCCAUCGCCCAGGUUCGUUCGUUCCCACCACCGGCUCUACCAGAUCCUGCAAGGACCGGCCUGAAAUUGCGCUGCUAUCUGCUAUGCAUGUUGCCCUGCUACCCCUCUUAUUCUGUCUCUCUUCUCAUUUCUUCAGAUAACAGGAGAUGGCAUGGCGCCAUCGGCCAUCUCCACGCAGCCGAGUCAAUCCGGCCACCGCAUGCCUAGAUCCGACCGAUCCGGCGCCGCCGUGGACCUGCCGGCCCUGGAACCCCCUCUGCUCGCGCCAUCCCCGACCGCGUCCUGCACUCCAUAGGUCUGUAGGUGCCAGAUCCGCAGGGUCGUUGUCUGUCUGUGUUCGUGGGAAGAAG